Molecule: ribosomal RNA, 440 nt
Filed under: uncultured bacterium
Lineage: Bacteria
Description: partial 16S ribosomal RNA
Rfam family: Bacterial small subunit ribosomal RNA
Source: RNAcentral
CCUACGGGGGGCAGCAGUGGGGAAUAUUGCACAAUGGGGGGAACCCUGAUGCAGCAACGCCGCGUGUGUGAAGAAGUACUCCGGUAUGUAAAGCCCUGUCAGCAGGGAAGAAAAUGACGGUACCUGAACAAGAAGCCCCGGCUAACUACGUGCCAGCAGCCGCGGUAAUACGUAGGGGGCAAGCGUUAUCCGGAUUUACUGGGUGUAAAGGGAGCGUAGACGGCAAGGCAAGUCUGGAGUGAAAGCCCGUGGCUCAACCACGGGACUGCUUUGGAAACUGUGUUGCUGGAGUGCAGGAGGGGUAAGCGGAAUUCCUAGUGUAGCGGUGAAAUGCGUAGAUAUUAGGAGGAACACCGGUGGCGAAGGCGGCUCACUGGACUGUAACUGACGUUGAGGCUCGAAGGCGUGGGGAGCAAACAGGAUUAGAUACCCCAGUAGUC